GGGAGGAAGGUGGGGACGACGUCAGGUCAGUAUGGCCCUUACGCCUAAGGCUGCACACGUACUACAAUGCCCAGUACAAUUAGAACCGAUACCGCGAGGUGGAGGAAAUCUGUAAAACUGGGCCCAGUUCGGAUUGGAGGCUGCAACUCGCCUCCAUGAAGUUGGAAUCGCUAGUAAUGGGGCAUCAUCUACGGCCCCGUGAAUACGUUCCCGGGUCUUGUACACACCGCCCGU
This 234-nucleotide ribosomal RNA is filed under the name uncultured Verrucomicrobiota bacterium. RNAcentral's name for it is "uncultured Verrucomicrobia bacterium partial 16S ribosomal RNA". It matches the Rfam family "Bacterial small subunit ribosomal RNA", at positions 1164 to 1397 of the family's 1533-position model. Lineage: Bacteria; Pseudomonadati; Verrucomicrobiota. The record is from RNAcentral.